Molecule: long non-coding RNA, 206 nt
Filed under: Gossypium barbadense (sea-island cotton)
Lineage: Eukaryota; Viridiplantae; Streptophyta; Magnoliopsida; Malvales; Malvaceae
Description: long non-coding RNA (GBAR_LNC021730)
Source: RNAcentral
UCCGUUGUCCUCGUCAACCAAGGCUGUUAUGAACACUUAAUUGCUGCUCCAAAUAGCUAAUGAAUGCCUCUUUCCCAAGAAGAGAAAUCGACAAGAGAUCAAGGGAAUUUUGGAAUGGAAAAGAAGGGAGAAAGUGGAGAGAAGAGAGGAAAGAUGUGAAUGCUUGAGGUGUGUUUUACAAAUGACUAGCCUAAGGUCGGUUUUUA